Molecule: small RNA, 326 nt
Filed under: uncultured bacterium
Lineage: Bacteria
Description: bacterial SSU rRNA
Rfam family: Bacterial small subunit ribosomal RNA
Source: RNAcentral
AACACAUGCAAGUCGUACGAGAAAUCCCGGGCAACUGGGAGAGUAAAGUGGCUCACGGGUGAGUAACGCGUGGGUAAUCUACCUUGGAGUUCGGAAUAACACCUCGAAAGGGGUGCUAAUACCGGAUGUCGUCCCGGGGGCCUCGGCUCCGGGGAUGAAAGAUGGCUGAGGCUUGCAAGCUAUUGCUCCAAGAUGAGCCCGCGUACCAUUAGCUAGUUGGUGGGGUAACGGCCCACCAAGGCAAUGAUGGUUAGCUGGUCUGAGAGGAUGGCCAGCCACACUGGAACUGAGACACGGUCCAGACUCCUACGGGAGGCAGCAGUGGG